RNAcentral lists this ribosomal RNA (497 nucleotides) under uncultured bacterium. Its description in RNAcentral is "partial 16S ribosomal RNA". It matches the Rfam family "Bacterial small subunit ribosomal RNA", at positions 28 to 507 of the family's 1533-position model. The record is from RNAcentral.
GAUGAACGCUGGCGGCGUGCCUAAUACAUGCAAGUCGAGCGAACGGACGGGAAGCUUGCUUCUCUGAUGUUAGCGGCGGACGGGUGAGUAACACGUGGAUAACCUACCUAUAAGACUGGGAUAACUUCGGGAAACCGGAGCUAAUACCGGAUAAUAUUUUGAACCGCAUGGUUCAAAAGUGAAAGACGGUCUUGCUGUCACUUAUAGAUGGAUCCGCGCUGCAUUAGCUAGUUGGUAAGGUAACGGCUUACCAAGGCAACGAUGCAUAGCCGACCUGAGAGGGUGAUCGGCCACACUGGAACUGAGACACGGUCCAGACUCCUACGGGAGGCAGCAGUAGGGAAUCUUCCGCAAUGGGCGAAAGCCUGACGGAGCAACGCCGCGUGAGUGAUGAAGGUCCUCGGAUCGUAAAACUCUGUUAUUAGGGAAGAACAUAUGUGUAAGUAACUGUGCACAUCUUGACGGUACCUAAUCAGAAAGCCACGGCUAACUACGUG